This 956-nucleotide non-coding RNA is filed under the name Hepsetus odoe (African pike characin). Its description in RNAcentral is "12S ribosomal RNA". It matches the Rfam family "Bacterial small subunit ribosomal RNA". The record is from RNAcentral. Lineage: Eukaryota; Metazoa; Chordata; Actinopteri; Characiformes; Hepsetidae.
CAAAGGCCUGGUCCCGACUUUACUAUCAGCUUUAGCCCAACUUAUACAUGCAAGUAUCCGCACCCCUGUGAGAAUGCCCUCAUACCCCCGCCCGGAAACGAGGAGCCGGCAUCAGGCGCACCACCCCCGCCCAAGACGCCUUGCUUCGCCACACCCCCAAGGGAACUCAGCAGUAAUAGACAUUAAGCCAUAAGUGAAAACUUGACUUAGUCAGGGCUAAAAGGGCCGGUAAAACUCGUGCCAGCCACCGCGGUUAUACGAGAGGCCCUAGUUGAUAAACACGGCGUAAAGAGUGGUUAGGGAAAAACUUAAAUAAAGCCAAAGACCUACCAAGCCGUCGCACGCACCCUGGAAGCACGAAGCCCAAUAAUGAAAAUAGCUUUACCCCCCCCCCCCCCCCCCGACCCCACGAAAGCUAAGAAACAAACUGGGAUUAGAUACCCCACUAUGCUUAGCCCUAAACUCAGAUGAGGCAUUUACAAACCCAUCCGCCAGGGAACUACAAGCGCCAGCUUAAAACCCAAAGGACUUGACGGUGUCUCAGACCCACCUAGAGGAGCCUGUUCUAGAACCGAUAAUCCCCGUUCAACCUCACCACCCCUUGUCCCCUCCCGCCUAUAUACCGCCGUCGCAAGCUUACCCUGUGAAGGUUUAACAGUAAGCAAAAUGGGCAGACCCCAGAACGUCAGGUCGAGGUGUAGCUCACGAGGUGGAAAGAAAUGGGCUACAUUUUCUACCACAGAAAACUACGGACGACACCAUGAAACCGGUGUCCCAAGGUGGAUUUAGCAGUAAAAGACAAAUCAGAGCGUUUCUUUGAACCCGGCUCUGAGACGCGCACACACCGCCCGUCACUCUCCCCUACACCCUACACUUACGUAAAUAACAAACUAAACCAACACACGGGGAGGCAAGUCGUAACAUGGUAAGUGUACCGGAAGGUGCACUUGGAACAU